This 599-nucleotide ribosomal RNA is filed under the name uncultured bacterium. RNAcentral's name for it is "bacterial SSU rRNA". It matches the Rfam family "Bacterial small subunit ribosomal RNA", at positions 888 to 1498 of the family's 1533-position model. The record is from RNAcentral.
GCAAGAUUGAAACUCAAAGGAAUUGACGGGGGCCCGCACAAGCGGAGGAACAUGUGGUUUAAUUCGAUGAUACGCGAGGAACCUUACCUGGGCUUAAAUGCAGAACGAUUUCCGCCGAAAGGUGGAUUCCUUCGGGCGUUUUGCAAGGUGCUGCAUGGUUGUCGUCAGCUCGUGCCGUGAGGUGUCGGGUUAAGUCCCAUAACGAGCGCAACCCUCAUCGUUAGUUGCCAGCGGGUAAUGCCGGGGACUCUAACGAAACUGCCGGUGUAAACCGUGAGGAAGGUGGGGAUGACGUCAAAUCAGCACGGCCCUUAUGUCCAGGGCUACACACGUGUUACAAUGGCCAGUACAAAGGGCAGCUACCUGGUGACAGGAUGCUAAUCUCUAAAACUGGUCUCAGUUCGGAUCGGAGUCUGCAACUCGACUUCGUGAAGAUGGAUUCGCUAGUAAUCGCGCAUCAGCAACGGCGUGGUGAAUACGUUCCCGGGCCUUGUACACACCGCCCGUCAAGCCAUGGAAGCUGGGGGUGCCUGAAGUCCGUAACCGCAAGGAGCGGCCUAGGGUAAAACUAGUGACUGGGGCUAAGUCGAAGCAACAUA